CUCGUUCUUAAGUUGAAGGUACCCUCUCUUCUUGUUUGUCAGUUGAAUGUUUGAAACCUUUACUAAACACUACAAAAAAAGUAAAAUAUUACGACGGUUUAUUUCCGGCGGUCUAUAAAAACUGCCACAAAUAUCACGUAUAUACGGCUGUUUUCUAUCCGUCGUAUUACAUGUUUGUAAACGGGCGGUUUUGAUGAAUAUUACAGGCGGCUUAAACUGCCAUUUUAUUUUGAGUUUUGAUACUUUAUAUUUGAAACCCUAUUCUCUGCUUCCUGCCUUUUCCCUUUCUCGCGCAAAUUAGGAGUCCACCAAAUCUCGUGCAAAUCGUCGGUGCCAUUUCACGAAAUCACGAAAUCAGUUGAAGGUACCCUCUCUUCUUGUUUGUCAGUUGAAUGUUUGAAACCUUUACUAAACACUACAAAAAAAGUAAAAUAUUACGACGGUUUAUUUCCGGCGGUCUAUAAAAACUGCCACAAAUAUCACGUAUAUACGGCUGUUUUCUAUCCGUCGUAUUACAUGUUUGUAAACGGGCGGUUUUGAUGAAUAUUACAGGCGGCUUAAACUGCCAUUUUCUUUUGAGUUUUAAUACUUUAUAUUUGAAACCCUAUUCUCUGCGUCCUGCCUUUUUCCUUUCUCGCGCAAAUUAGGAGUCAACCAAAUCUCGCGCAAAUCGUCAGUGCCAUUUCACGAAAUUGUCGGUGCUAUGAAGCUCGCAGGUUCAGUCAUGUCUCUCAAUUUCCUCUUUUAUUUGCUUAUGUAAGUAUGGAUCUUCGAUUUCUUUGUGGUUUUGUACUGCUUCGUCACUUAGUUGUUAGAUCUAUUUUAGUUUUCUUUUAGAUUUAUGAAUCCAGUGUUGUAAUGAGUAGACCUGUGUGUUAUUGAAAUUUGCUAGAAAUCCUUUAGGGAUGCGAAAGAAUUGUGCAGUAGCGAUUACUAGUUUAGGUUUGAGGCUUAAUUGAUGGAUUAAAUCAUGAGUUUGGUGUAUGAGCUUGUAUUCCAUGGCCAUUACUAUAUAUUCUUAUGCAAGCUAUGGACUAAUUUGAGGAAUUGAAUUUUGCUUGGGUUAAUUGAAGUUAUCAAAUUUUAUAAAAAAUUAUAGUACGAUAAUUGUAGAAUUUCUCGGAUAGAGUUUAAAGAUGAUGAAUUUGUCAAAUAUUAACAAAUCCUCAUUGAUUCCAACACAUGGAGUAGUACUUUUUUUAUAUGGACAUUUUACAAUUGCUAAAUGUAGCUAUGUAUAUCUUUUUUUUGAAGUAUUCUAGUGAUAUGUAACUGAAUCAUUUCAAUUCUCUUUUUAACAAGAUAUUCAUCUUUGUCUAUUGUCUUUUCUUUACCUUUUUUCUGCAGAAAAAUCCAACCUUUUGAAAAAAUAUAUCAGUAUCUUUUGUUCCCUACUUGCCUUUCAAGUAAUUUGGUAGAAAAUAUUUAUGCCAUGGUGCAUCACUCAUGUUUUUAGUUUCAUCUCGGUUUUGAAGUAUUUUUGAGUUUUAAGUUUGGAGAACUAUCGAAAAACAUCCUAUUAUGAUUCAUUUAUAGAUAGGAUGUGUAUAUCUAUAUUUAAAAUUGUCUUUAAGGAGAAGUGGAGCACAAAAUUGAUGUCCUACUUGCUAAGUUGAACUUGGAAAUAUAAGGUGCGUAGCCUUGGAGAAUGUAGUAGUCACUGAAUUUCCCUGUAGACAUCAAAAUCUUGGCUGUCACAAAAUAUUAUCUUACUAUCGAAAGCUCAAACACAAAAGCCAUUGCAAAUUUAGGCCUUACCGUUGUUCUUAUGUUGGAUCAUAUUGCUUGAUAAAAGGGAACAUUCAAACACUUAUAUUGCAUCUCAAGGAGUAUCACAAAGUGAUAUGCAUAUAGGAUGGUCAUUUCUUUUUAAUGAAAUCCAUUUUCACUAAACUGAAAAGGAGAAACUUAACUAUUUAUUUGGCAAGAGUGGCACUACCUGCAGAAAAGCAAGCUAGAUAAAAUUCAUUUAUAGUUCACUAAUGAUGGAUAGGUUUUACCACUCCAAAUAAUGCAACGGGUAUUUAAGUGUAGCACAGCCUCGAAAUGAUGCUAUGAGGCCAUCAAUGCUAGUGUGAAUACCGAUUCAUUGACAAAUAUAGUGGAGUCAGAGUGUAUUUACAAAUUGGAGAUACUGAUUUCUCCUCUCUCUGAUCCCUUUCCGCUUGUUAAGAGUUAGUCAGCCAUAACCUGACACUUCCUCAAUGUGCUAAUUAUUUUGCAGCAGCUAUGCUUUAGCAUAGAGGACUCCUACAAAUAACUCAACAGUAGACCAUCAAACAGCUGAUUUAGAACACAUGUUAAAGAGAUCAAGACCUUUGGGUGUAUCAGAUGAAGUAUGAUAUGGGAGAGGAUUGCUAACAGAUGUUUCAAGAUUUGGGAUCUCGGGUAAUGUUCAGUGGCUUUAUAGGUAUAUGUGGAACCUGUUGAUUGCAUUGACAAUCGUUUAUCAUGUAUGGAUGAAUGUUUUUGUAGUCUCAGCUUAAUAGACUUAUUGCUGAAGGUGCUCGUCGUGCAAGAGAAAUAAUAUGUGCCACCUCUUUCAGGCUUAUGGAAAAUACCAACUAGUUUUAUUCUUGAGGUAUGUUUCUCUAUUGCAAACUGACUAACAUCUUGAUCACUUUUGACUAAAGUAUUGAAACAUGUUAAUUGCAUACUCGUACCCCCUUUAAAACGUUGUGUCAAAAUCAGUCCGAGGAUAUAUUUAAAGGAGUUGUAAGAGAAGUGAAGGAAAAAAUAGGAGUAAGAAAUUCACAAGCACCAUAUUCCUCUACCUAAAUGAGCAAAUAUGUACUGAACAAUUGUUAUCUUAAUGAUUAUUUUUCCUUUCUCAUUAUUUUGUCCAGGAUGAUGCUCAAUUUGAGAAGGUUAUGGCUUUCAGGUAACAAAACUCUUCAUCUUAUGGCCAAUGAUUAUUUUGUGCCCUUUUGAUGAUUGGAAGAGUUAUAUUAGAAAUCUUAUAAGAACAUGAAAUGCUGAUACCAUAACUAUCCACACGAUUUGGCUUAGACACAGAGAAUGUGGAAUUCCUAUUAGCUAAACAUUAACGCUACAGGAUUAAUUAUAAUUAGCUCUAAGUUAAUUAGAACACUUGGUAAAUAAUUUCUUUUUGAAGUUCUUUAUCCCUUAUUCAGUAUGUUUAGUCAUGUAUUUAUAAUUUCCAGUUUGUAAUUGUUCGCUUUUUUGUUGUUUAGCAUCAAAAUAAUGACUAAAGAGUCCAUCACUAAAAUUAAGUCUCUAUAAUUUUUUGUAUGCACAAAGUAAUCACAUUUUUAGCAGCUUUAACCUUUACUUUUAUAUUGCUGCUACAAUGCAUCGGGGAGGAGAAAUGAUUCAUAUCAAAAGUGACUUUCAGUUGUUCCUUUUUAUAUAGUUAUGUCUUUCAUGACAUUUUAGCACCUCUGUUGUUAGAUAUCUCAAAAUCAAAUAUUUAUUUCAUGUCACUUACUGCAGGUGGCUAGCUAAGAAGAUCACCAUAUGGAUCUUAUCAACGUAGAUUAUGCGAGUUCUCAUAGAAUAUUAAUUCUAGAAUAUGAUAUGGUUAUUUCUCUUCGGAUGGAUGUAAUAUAUUGCUCCUUAACAUUUAAAGAAUUUUGUUAUGUAAUUUUGAAAUGCUUAUAUUUUUCAUAUAUGAUGAUUAAUUUGUUUCAAUGAUCUUUUCUUA
RNAcentral lists this long non-coding RNA (3664 nucleotides) under Solanum tuberosum (potato). RNAcentral describes it as "long non-coding RNA (STUB_LNC006236)". The record is from RNAcentral. Lineage: Eukaryota; Viridiplantae; Streptophyta; Magnoliopsida; Solanales; Solanaceae.